This 253-nucleotide ribosomal RNA is filed under the name uncultured bacterium. RNAcentral describes it as "partial 16S ribosomal RNA". It matches the Rfam family "Bacterial small subunit ribosomal RNA", at positions 524 to 776 of the family's 1533-position model. The record is from RNAcentral.
UACGUGGGGUGCAAGCGUUAUCCGGAUUUAUUGGGCGUAAAGAGUUCGUAGGCGUCUUAUCAAGUUUUGCUUGAAAUCCCGAGGCUUAACCUCGGAACUGGGUGAAAUACUGAUGAGAUUGAGUCUGUUAGGGGGUACUGGAACUCAUGGUGUAGCAGUGAAAUGCGUUGAUAUCAUGAGGAACACCAAGGGCGAAGGCAGGUACCUGGGACACGACUGACGCUGAGGAACGAAAGCUAGGGGAGCGAAAGGG